AACGAACGCUGGCGGCAUGCCUAACACAUGCAAGUCGAGCGAGACCUUCGGGUCUAGUGGCGCACGGGUGCGUAACGCGUGGGAACCUGCCCUUAGGUUCGGAAUAACUCCCCGAAAGGGGUGCUAAUACCGGAUAAUGUCUUCGGACCAAAGAUUUAUCGCCUUUGGAUGGGCCCGCGUUGGAUUAGCUAGUUGGUAGGGUAAAAGCCUACCAAGGCGACGAUCCAUAGCUGGUCUGAGAGGAUGAUCAGCCACACUGGGACUGAGACACGGCCCAGACUCCUACGGGAGGCAGCAGUGGGGAAUAUUGGACAAUGGGCGAAGGCCUGAUCCAGCAAUGCCGCGUGAGUGAUGAAGGCCUUAGGGUUGUAAAGCUCUUUUACCCGGGAUGAUAAUGACAGUACCGGGAGAAUAAGCUCCGGCUAACUCCGUG
RNAcentral lists this ribosomal RNA (433 nucleotides) under uncultured bacterium. Its description in RNAcentral is "partial 16S ribosomal RNA". It matches the Rfam family "Bacterial small subunit ribosomal RNA", at positions 29 to 507 of the family's 1533-position model. The record is from RNAcentral.